GGAGCCUUAGCUCAGCCCGGUUAGAGUGAACGCCUGAUAAGCGUUAGGUCGUAGGUUCAAAUCCUACAGGCUCCA
RNAcentral lists this transfer RNA (75 nucleotides) under Candidatus Uabimicrobium amorphum. RNAcentral's name for it is "Uabimicrobium amorphum tRNA". It matches the Rfam family "tRNA". From Rfam's summary of the family: Transfer RNA (tRNA) molecules are approximately 80 nucleotides in length. Their secondary structure includes four short double-helical elements and three loops (D, anti-codon, and T loops). Further hydrogen bonds mediate the characteristic L-shaped molecular structure. tRNAs have two regions of fundamental functional importance: the anti-codon, which is responsible for specific mRNA codon recognition, and the 3' end, to which the tRNAs corresponding amino acid is attached (by aminoacyl-tRNA synthetases). tRNAs cope with the degeneracy of the genetic code in two manners: having more than one tRNA (with a specific anti-codon) for a particular amino acid; and 'wobble' base-pairing, i.e. permitting non-standard base-pairing at the 3rd anti-codon position. The record is from Rfam by way of RNAcentral. Lineage: Bacteria; Pseudomonadati; Planctomycetota; Candidatus Uabimicrobiia; Candidatus Uabimicrobiales; Candidatus Uabimicrobiaceae.